Molecule: ribosomal RNA, 253 nt
Filed under: uncultured bacterium
Lineage: Bacteria
Description: partial 16S ribosomal RNA
Rfam family: Bacterial small subunit ribosomal RNA
Source: RNAcentral
GACAGAGGGUGUAAACGUUGUUCGGAAUUACUGGGCGUAAAGCGCGUGUAGGCGGCUAAGUAAGUCGGGCGUGAAAUCCCACGGCUCAACCGUGGAAGUGCACUCGAAACUGCAUAGCUAGAGUCCUGGAGAGGAAGGUGGAAUGCUUGGUGUAGAGGUGAAAUUCGUAGAUAUCAAGCGGAACACCGGUGGCGAAGGCGGCCUUCUGGACAGUGACUGACGCUGAGACGCGAAAGCGUGGGGAGCAAACAGG